CCUACGGGUGGCAGCAGUGGGGAAUAUUGGACAAUGGGGGGAACCCUGAUCCAGCCAUGCCGCGUGUGUGAAGAAGGCCCUCGGGUUGUAAAGCACUUUCAGUGAGGAAGAACGCCUGGUGGUUAAUACCCAUCAGGAAAGACAUCACUCACAGAAGAAGCACCGGCUAACUCCGUGCCAGCAGCCGCGGUAAUACGGAGGGUGCGAGCGUUAAUCGGAAUUACUGGGCGUAAAGCGCGCGUAGGUGGCUUGAUAAGCCGGUUGUGAAAGCCCCGGGCUCAACCUGGGAACGGCAUCCGGAACUGUCAAGCUAGAGUGCAGGAGAGGAAGGUAGAAUUCCCGGUGUAGCGGUGAAAUGCGUAGAGAUCGGGAGGAAUACCAGUGGCGAAGGAGGCCUUCUGGACUGACACUGACACUGAGGUGCGAAAGCGUGGGUAGCAAACAGGAUUAGAUACCCUAGUAGUC
This 465-nucleotide ribosomal RNA is filed under the name Vreelandella stevensii. RNAcentral's name for it is "partial 16S ribosomal RNA". It matches the Rfam family "Bacterial small subunit ribosomal RNA", at positions 338 to 795 of the family's 1533-position model. Lineage: Bacteria; Pseudomonadati; Pseudomonadota; Gammaproteobacteria; Oceanospirillales; Halomonadaceae. The record is from RNAcentral.